UGGGGAAUAUUGGACAAUGGGCGAAAGCCUGAUCCAGCCAUGCCGCGUGUGUGAAGAAGGUCUUCGGAUUGUAAAGCACUUUAAGUUGGGAGGAAGGGCAGUAAGCGAAUACCUUGCUGUUUUGACGUUACCGACAGAAUAAGCACCGGCUAACUCUGUGCCAGCAGCCGCGGUAAUACAGAGGGUGCAAGCGUUAAUCGGAAUUACUGGGCGUAAAGCGCGCGUAGGUGGUUCGUUAAGUUGAAUGUGAAAGCCCCGAGCUCAACCUGGGAACUGCAUCCGAGACUGGGGAGCUAGAGUAGGGCAGAGGGGGGUGGAAUUUCCUGUGUAGCGGUGAAAUGCGUAGAUAUAGGAAGGAACACCAGUGGCGAAGGCGACCACCUGGGCUCAUACUGACACUGAGGUGCGAAAGCGUGGGGAGCAAACAGG
This 429-nucleotide ribosomal RNA is filed under the name Pseudomonadota bacterium. Its description in RNAcentral is "Proteobacteria bacterium partial 16S ribosomal RNA". It matches the Rfam family "Bacterial small subunit ribosomal RNA", at positions 355 to 776 of the family's 1533-position model. The record is from RNAcentral. Lineage: Bacteria; Pseudomonadati; Pseudomonadota.